Molecule: ribosomal RNA, 495 nt
Filed under: uncultured bacterium
Lineage: Bacteria
Description: partial 16S ribosomal RNA
Rfam family: Bacterial small subunit ribosomal RNA
Source: RNAcentral
UGAACGCUGGCGGCGUGCCUAAUACAUGCAAGUCGAGCGAACAGACGAGGAGCUUGCUCCUCUGACGUUAGCGGCGGACGGGUGAGUAACACGUGGAUAACCUACCUAUAAGACUGGGAUAACUUCGGGAAACCGGAGCUAAUACCGGAUAAUAUAUUGAACCGCAUGGUUCAAUAGUGAAAGACGGUUUUGCUGUCACUUAUAGAUGGAUCCGCGCCGCAUUAGCUAGUUGGUAAGGUAACGGCUUACCAAGGCAACGAUGCGUAGCCGACCUGAGAGGGUGAUCGGCCACACUGGUACUGAGACACGGUCCAGACUCCUACGGGAGGCAGCAGUAGGGAAUCUUCCGCAAUGGGCGAAAGCCUGACGGAGCAACGCCGCGUGAGUGAUGAAGGUCUUCGGAUCGUAAAACUCUGUUAUUAGGGAAGAACAAAUGUGUAAGUAACUAUGCACGUCUUGACGGUACCUAAUCAGAAAGCCACGGCUAACUACGUG